CUACAUCAGUUGAUAUCAAUGAUAUCACACUUGGAUGUCCUUUUUUGAGUUUUCCAAGGACGGGAAAAUGAGGGAGAGUAUUACGAAACAUGGAGCAUGCUUAUUGCGUUUGGGAGUUGGCCCCUAAACAAAUAAUGCUUGGGGUAGAUUCCGGAGUUUGAUCAUGGGUGAUAUAGGGUUUGAUUGUACCUCUCUUGUCAGCUAUAGCUUUUGAGAAAAGUUGUCACGUCAUCCUAAUCAAGAAUGAAUAAUGAGUGUGGCACAGGG
RNAcentral lists this long non-coding RNA (267 nucleotides) under Olea europaea (common olive). RNAcentral's name for it is "long non-coding RNA (OEUR_LNC012169)". Lineage: Eukaryota; Viridiplantae; Streptophyta; Magnoliopsida; Lamiales; Oleaceae. The record is from RNAcentral.